AGUGAACGCUGGCGGUAGGCCUAACACAUGCAAGUCGAACGGCAGCACCGUAAGAGCUUGCUCUUACGGGUGGCGCGUGGCGGACGGGUGAGGUAUACAUCGGAAUCUUCUUUUUCGUGGGGGAUAACGUAGGGAAACUUACGCUAAUACCGCAUACGACCUCUGGGUGAAAGCAGGGGAUCUUCGGACCUUGCGCGAUUGAAUGAGCCGAGGUCGGAUUAGCUAGUUGGCGGGGUAAAGGCCCACCAAGGCGACGAGCCGUAGCUGAUCUGAGGGGAUGAUCACCCACACUGGAACAGAGACACGGUCCAGACACCUACGGGGGGCAGCAGUGGGGAAUAUUGGACGAUGGACGCAAGCCUGAUCCAGCCAUACCGCGUGGGUGAAGAAGGCCUUCGGGUGGUAAAGCCCUUUUGUUGGGAAAGAAAAGCAGCAGUUUAAUACCCCACUGUUCUGACGGUACCCAAAGAAUAAGCACCGGCUAACUUCGUG
This 492-nucleotide ribosomal RNA is filed under the name uncultured bacterium. RNAcentral describes it as "partial 16S ribosomal RNA". It matches the Rfam family "Bacterial small subunit ribosomal RNA", at positions 29 to 507 of the family's 1533-position model. The record is from RNAcentral.